UACGAGGGGUGCAAGCGUUAUUCGGAAUUAUUGGGCGUACAGGGUGUGUAGGCGGUAUGUUAAGUCUGUUGUUAAAUGUCUCGGCCUAACCGAGAACCAGCGAUGGAUACUGGCAUACUAGAGGAUGGAAGAGAGAAGUGGAAUUCUUGGAGUAGCGGUAAAAUGCGUAGAUCUCAAGAGGAACACCAAUGGCGAAGGCAGCUUCUUGGUCCAUACCUGACGCUGAGACACGAAAGCGUGGGGAGCAAACAGG
RNAcentral lists this unclassified non-coding RNA (253 nucleotides) under uncultured bacterium. RNAcentral's name for it is "contains 16S-23S intergenic spacer region". It matches the Rfam family "Bacterial small subunit ribosomal RNA", at positions 524 to 776 of the family's 1533-position model. The record is from RNAcentral.